RNAcentral lists this ribosomal RNA (669 nucleotides) under uncultured Bacteroidota bacterium. Its description in RNAcentral is "bacterial SSU rRNA". It matches the Rfam family "Bacterial small subunit ribosomal RNA", at positions 39 to 701 of the family's 1533-position model. The record is from RNAcentral. Lineage: Bacteria; Pseudomonadati; Bacteroidota.
GCUACAGGCUUAACACAUGCAAGUCGAGGGGCAGCAUUAGGUAGCAAUACUGAGAUGGCGACCGGCGCACGGGUGCGUAACGCGUAUCCAACCUUCCCGUUACUCUUGGAUAGCCUUCCGAAAGGGAGAUUAAUACAAGAUGGUGUUGAAAUUCCGCAUGUUAUUUCAACUAAAGAUUUAUCGGUAACGGAUGGGGAUGCGUGACAUUAGAUAGUAGGCGGGGUAACGGCCCACCUAGUCUACGAUGUCUAGGGGUUCUGAGAGGAAGGUCCCCCACACUGGUACUGAGACACGGACCAGACUCCUACGGGAGGCAGCAGUGAGGAAUAUUGGUCAAUGGGCGGAAGCCUGAACCAGCCAAGUAGCGUGAAGGAUUACAGCCCUACGGGUUUUAAACUUCUUUUAUAUGAGAGUAAUGUGCACUACGUGUAGUGUAUUGCAAGUAUCAUAUGAAUAAGCAUCGGCUAACUCCGUGCCAGCAGCCGCGGUAAUACGGAGGAUGCGAGCGUUAUCCGGAUUUAUUGGGUUUAAAGGGAGCGUAGGCGGGAUAUUAAGCCAGCUGUGAAAGUUUGCGGCUCAACCGUAAAAUUGCAGUUGGAACUGGAGACCUUGAGUGUGCAUAAGGUGGAUGGAAUUCGUGGUGUAGCGGUGAAAUGCUUAGAUAUCACG